Long non-coding RNA from Dreissena polymorpha, 1680 nucleotides. RefSeq lists it as uncharacterized. The record is from RefSeq and is a predicted model, not a curated record. The transcript has 2 exons. NCBI's taxonomy places the organism in Eukaryota, Metazoa, Mollusca, Bivalvia, Myida, Dreissenidae.
AAGCCAAAGGGGACCCCCGCUAAAAUACAUAUAAUUAUAUAGUAACUAUCGGGAUUUUCAUUUCUCGCGGAACUUUCACUCUCGCGAAAAACCAAUGUCAACAUGGCCAAAAAAAAUACAUAAAAAUCGAAAUCUAAAAAGCGCGGAACUUUCAUAUAUUUCCGUCGGAACAACUAUCUUUUAGUAUAGAAAAAGCGGGCUCAAUUUAUCGCGCUGAACCUACUCUGUACAAAAAGUAGUGUAUAGAAUCGCGCGGAGAUUGUAGAACGCUAUUUUAAGAAGUCUAUAUCGUCCGCGAAAAUUGAGCAUUGAAUUACUGUACAAAUCUCGGGUUGCUAUGUAAAUUGCGGGUUGCUAAUGAAAAAUCGCGCGGAAGAUUCAUUACUCCGCGCGAUUUUUCAAUAGCAUUGAAUUACUGCACGAAAUUCGGGUUGCUAUGUGGUUACGCGAUAAAAUUUGAUUGGUUCCGACACCUAGAGUGAACCAAUCAAAACUAGCGUCUUAUCCAGCAUUCAUGCAGUCAUCACGAUGACGGUUGUUUCACAUUAACACAAAACCUUUAAAGGGCGAAAGAAUGAUCAAUUUUGAUGACAUUAGCCAUGAGCUGUAACAGUGUUCCCAACUUGAACAUCAUCUUCUGAGUACAUAUCUGAGGCAGAGCCAGCUUGCACGUCCUGUGUUGUGGACAUCCGUGUUAGAGCCAGCUUGCAUGUCCUGUGUUGUGGACAUCCGUGUUAGUGCUAGCUUGCACAUCAUCUGUUGUGAACAUCCGUGUAAGAGCCAGCUUGCACAUCUUCUGUUGUGGACAUCCGUGUUAGUGCUAGCUUGCACGUCAUCUGUUGUGAACAUCCGUGUAAGAGCCAGCUUGCACGUCAUCUCUUUUGGGCAUCAGUAUUAGAGCCAGCUUGCACAUCUUCUGUUGUGGACAUCCGUGUUAGUGCUAACUUGCACGUAAUCUGUUGUGGACAUCUGUGUUAGAUCCAGCUUGCAUGUCAUACGUUAAGGACAUCAGUCAGAGAUAGCUUGCAUGUUAUUUACUUGUGGACAUUAGAAUCAGAGCCAGCAAGGACAAUGUCUGUUGUGGAUAUCUGUCUUAGAGCCAGCAUGCACUUCAUCGGUUGUUCACAUCCUUCUAAUAACCAGCUUGACCAUCAUCUGAUGUGGAAAUCUGAGUCAGAGACAGCUUGCACAUCAUCCGUUGUGAACAUCUCUUUAUGAUUUUACUCUUUGCUUAGAUUGACACUGUGACUUUAGUGUAAUACGUUGCAACCUUAAGCUAUUCCUAUUGUUGAAUAAAAUAUUGUGUCAUUAAAAUAUAUUUUGUUGGAUAAUUUGUAUGUUGAGUUGUAUUGUUUGGUCAUUGCAAAGUUACAAGUUAUUUUAAGACAAGAACAAGCUCAUCUUUCAUCAUGUAUUUAUAUUAAAAUUCUUGAAUGUUAAUGAAGGUACAGAUCAUAUAAUUAAAAGCAAUUGUAAUAGAAUUGCUUGUGUUUCAUUGCACAGUCAAUACCAUCUUGUCUUUAUGCUGACAUAUAGAACGGAUAAAUAGUAAACUGUCGUUUUUAUAUGCUAUGGGAUUGUAUAUCAACACUUGUAUUUUAAGAUGACAAAAUUGCCAUAUUUUUUCUCUUUAUAUUUUAUUCCUGCUAAAUGGUUGAUGCAAUAAAGUUUAGUCUUCAA